GAUGAACGCUGGCUGUGUGCCUAAUACAUGCAUGUCGAGCGGAAGUAGCAAUACUUUAGCGGCGAGUGGGUGAGUAACACGUGCUUAAUCUACCUCUUAGAUUGGAAUACCUAAUGGAAACAUUGGUUAAUGCCGGAUACGCAUGGAGUCGCAUGACUCCGUUGUGAAAGGGGCCUUUAAAGCUCCACUAAGAGAUGAGGGUGCGGAACAUUAGCUAGUUGGUGAGGUAACGGCCCACCAAGGCUAUGAUGUUUAGCCGGGUCGAGAGACUGAACGGCCACAUUGGGACUGAGAUACGGCCCAAACUCCUACGGGAGGCAGCAGUAGGGAAUAUUCCACAAUGAGCGAAAGCUUGAUGGAGCGACACAGCGUGCACGAUGAAGGUCUUAUGGAUUGUAAAGUGCUGUUGCAAGGGAAGAAAAAGUAGUUGAGGAAAUGCUUCUACAUUGACGGUACCUUGUUAGAAAGCGAUGGCUAACUAUGUGCCAGCAGCCGCGGUAAUACAUAGGUCGCAAGCGUUAUCCGGAAUUAUUGGGCGUAAAGCGUUCGUAGGCUGUUUAUUAAGUCUGGAGUCAAAUCCCAGGGCUCAACCCUGGCUCGCUUUGGAUACUGGUAAACUAGAGUUGGAUAGAGGUAAGCGGAAUUCCAUGUGAAGCGGUGAAAUGCGUAGAUAUAUGGAAGAACACCAAAGGCGAAGGCAGCUUACUGGGUUUAUACUGACGCUGAGGAACGAAAGCGUGGGGAGCAAACAGG
This 753-nucleotide ribosomal RNA is filed under the name uncultured Mycoplasma sp. RNAcentral's name for it is "bacterial SSU rRNA". It matches the Rfam family "Bacterial small subunit ribosomal RNA", at positions 28 to 776 of the family's 1533-position model. Lineage: Bacteria; Bacillati; Mycoplasmatota; Mollicutes; Mycoplasmatales; Mycoplasmataceae. The record is from RNAcentral.